AGGGAUCAUUAUAGGACUUUACCGUCAUAAACCAUCGUGAACCUUACUUCAACGUUGCCUCGGCGGGUGUCGCGGCGGGGGACUACGCGUCCCGCGCCCGGCGCCAAACCCGCCGGCGGCCCGCAACUCUUGCUUCUAGCUGUAUCUCUGAGCACUAUACAUAAAUGAGUCAAAACUUUCAACAACGGAUCUCUUGGUUCUGGCAUCGAUGAAGAACGCAGCGAAAUGCGAUAAGUAAUGUGAAUUGCAGAAUUCAGUGAAUCAUCGAAUCUUUGAACGCACAUUGCGCCCGCCGGUAUCCCGGCGGGCAUGCCUGUUCGAGCGUCAUUUCUAUCUUCAGGCCUCGCCUGGUGUUGGGGCGCCACCGACGGUGGGCCCCCAAAGCCAGUGGCGGGCUCGUCAAGGACCCGAGCGUAGUAGCCUGUAUACAUCUCGCUCAGGGAACC
Molecule: unclassified non-coding RNA, 446 nt
Filed under: uncultured Chaetosphaeria
Lineage: Eukaryota; Fungi; Ascomycota; Sordariomycetes; Chaetosphaeriales; Chaetosphaeriaceae
Description: sequence contains ITS1, 5.8S rRNA gene, ITS2
Rfam family: 5.8S ribosomal RNA (bases 174-327)
Source: RNAcentral